UUUUUUUCUUGUUCGGUUAUUUUGACCUUACAUGUUCAAUUUACUUGGAAUUCGCUUUGGAUUCUCACUCUAAUGAAUAACCCAGUUGGAAUGAAAAUUACGUGGUAAUUAGCUGAUCACACUUUGAAAAUGACAUUUUUCGCCUUUAGGAAAGAGAAAUGUGCAGCUCCUGUGAAAUUAUGUGAGAGUUAACUGUGUGAAGUCUUCGUUCAGUUUAAAGACAGAGUAGUAAUACAUUUUAGUAUUUUUUAUUUUAUAUGUGUCAAUAGAAG
Pelobates cultripes (western spadefoot toad) is the source of this 272-nucleotide non-coding RNA. The record is from the annotation of a GenBank genome assembly. Lineage: Eukaryota; Metazoa; Chordata; Amphibia; Anura; Pelobatidae.